This is a long non-coding RNA of Atta colombica, 604 nucleotides long. RefSeq lists it as uncharacterized. NCBI's taxonomy places the organism in Eukaryota, Metazoa, Arthropoda, Insecta, Hymenoptera, Formicidae. The record is from RefSeq and is a predicted model, not a curated record. The transcript has 2 exons.
GCGCAGCGUUAAUAACAGUGUCUUUAUAAGAUUAAUAAAUUAUAUAAGAUUCUGCUUUUUGAGAAUAUUUCACAAGUCAUAUGCAUUAUUGAAAUUAAAUUUUUGAACCAAUUUGCAUUUUGUGGUAAAAAUGAAAUUUUAUAUCACGUUAUUAAUGGUUGCUAUGAUAGAGAUGACUACCAUGUCGUCACCGCUACUAAAGGAAACUCAACUAGGAUCGCCUCCGAAAACACCGAUGACAAAUGUAACAAUGUCUCCAUUUAAUAUCAUAACAGUACCGGAUUUUCCGUGUCCACCUGGUCAACAACGUGACACAAAUGGAAUAUGUCGAUUGUUUUUGCAAAAGCUUAAGAAGUAGUUUCAAGAAAAAUUAUAGAUACAACGAUACGAGCGGUGUAAUCCUACAAACGUCACAAUGAAAUAUCAUAACAAUGCAUGUCGAGAGAUUGGCCAAGCUAUUUGUCCGCUUUGCAUCAGAGAAACAAACUUCAUCAUCGAUGCGAUUAUCAAUGUAUAUUAUUUAUUAGUUUUAGUGUUUAACGCUGUAACUUGCAAUUAUAAUAUGAGUCCCAAUUUAUCAUAAUAAAAUACAUUUUUUAUCUAA